AUUGAACGCUGGCGGAAUGCUUUACACAUGCAAGUCGAACGGCAGCACGGGGGCAACCCUGGUGGCGAGUGGCGAACGGGUGAGUAAUACAUCGGAACGUGCCCAGUCGUGGGGGAUAACGUAGCGAAAGUUACGCUAAUACCGCAUACGAUCUACGGAGGAAAGCGGGGGACCGUAAGGCCUCGCGCGAUUCGAGAGGCCGAUGUCAGAUUAGGUAGUUGGUGAGGUAAAGGCUCACCAAGCCAACGAUCUGUAGCUGGUCUGAGAGGACGACCAGCCACACUGGGACUGAGACACGGCCCAGACUCCUACGGGAGGCAGCAGUGGGGAAUUUUGGACAAUGGGCGCAAGCCUGAUCCAGCCAUUCCGCGUGCAGGACGAAGGCCUUCGGGUUGUAAACUGCUUUUGUACGGAACGAAAAGGCUCUGGUUAAUACCUGGGGCUCAUGACGGUACCGUAAGAAUAAGCACCGGCUAACUACGUGCCAGCCGCCGCCGUAA
This 500-nucleotide ribosomal RNA is filed under the name uncultured bacterium. Its description in RNAcentral is "partial 16S ribosomal RNA". It matches the Rfam family "Bacterial small subunit ribosomal RNA", at positions 30 to 523 of the family's 1533-position model. The record is from RNAcentral.